RNAcentral lists this ribosomal RNA (118 nucleotides) under Pteropus alecto (black flying fox). Lineage: Eukaryota; Metazoa; Chordata; Mammalia; Chiroptera; Pteropodidae. The record is from RNAcentral.
GUCUAUGGCCAUGCUACCCUGAACAAGCCUGAUCCUGUCUGAUCUCGGAAGCUAAGCAGGAUUGGCCUGGUUAGUACCUGGGUAGGAGACCACCUAGGAAGACUAGGUGCUGUAGGUC